AAUCACUAAUGACCUCAUCUUCAAAUGGUCAGUGAUAAUAAACAAGAAGGAGGGAUUUCCAAGGGAGCAGAGCAUUAAUAAGCUACUUGUGCAAGAAGCUACAAUGAGAAAAAAAUAGCAAGAAAUAGAUGAGGGAAGGAGGUGCUGUAGAGAGAAAAGCAGAGAAUGGAUUGUGCUGAGAUAGAGAUGCUCAGAUGAAGAAGCUGGCCCUAGCACCCAUAAAGCUGGAAAGAAAGUAGGGCCUCGGAAAGUUCUGGAAGGAAAAAGGCGAGGAAAGAAAAAGGCAAGGAAGUGGGAUGGAGAGGAGGCAGAUAAACCAAGAAGGACUUUGGAAGCAUGUAAAUUACAAGGGAAUGAGGAAGAGCCUUUACUGAAACAGUCUGUGAAGUUUGUGCUAGCGCUGAGAGCUUCAUUUUAGCGUACUGGCAAGGAGGUGUGGCCCCUCUCCAGGGCCUGGCACCUCAUUGCUAUGGUAACGGAAGACACGCUGAUCAUCCGGAUUUUGCCUCCGAGACUUGGGCUGUACAAGCUGCUUUCCUGGAGUAGCUUGUCCUUUUGCAGUUAACCUAGAUGUCUGGGGAGAAGAGCUUCUCCCAACAGGAUGGCAGGCAAUGCUUCCAGAUGCGGUCACUUGGCACGUCUGAGCCGAAUGUCUCCAUAAAAAUAUGAUGUAAUUAACAGAGCCGCAGCAGCUGGAACAAUUCAGUACCUCACAUUGAUUUUCCAUGUCUCCUGUUUACUUUCAGAUCUGCAGUGACAGAAAAUCAAAGAAUUAUAAUGGUGUGCGUGAGGGCCCGAUGCUGGGUCGGCAUUUCCUUGAGAAAUCCUAAGAUUAAUCAGUUUCCUAUCACUCAAUCAUCUCUUUUCAAUUCUAAAGGAAAACUGUCCUCCAAAAUGCUAUGAAAUAGCAGUCUAUUUUUGGAUAUUAAAAAAAUCAAUUGUACUAUUUUAAAAUUUGAGGGGAGUGUUUUAAAAGUCAGCCCGAAGCAAUGUUCACUUGUCUGUUUUCUCCUUCAAGUUUAAUAGGAGUUGGCAACGAUAUUUGGGUACAGUGAGACAUAAGUACUGUAUUCACCCCUCCCAAAUUUUGUGGGCUUGGAAAGUUACUUGGUGGAACCAAAGACAGGAACUGCGUUCCAAGUUUUUUCAGUCACUGAAAUGAAGGAAAGUAAGUUUCCCCAGAUGUAGUUAUUCAUGAGCCUUCAUCUGAAGCAGGGUUGGUUUAAUCAUAGUUGUUCAUUGGAUUUCUAGCUCUGUCAGGUGAAAGUCAGAAUCGGGUUAAUUUCACUUUGGGUUUCUUAAAAUGCUGGAGGAAAUAAGCAGAAGGCUGCGGUUAUAGUGGGGAAACAGGCCUCUGUCUGAAGUCAGCUUGCUCCUGACUGCCUUGGAAGGCGUAUUAAGUGGUCUUGCUUUUUUACCACACUCCAUUGUCUUGGUAGAUUCUGUGUCUUGGCCGUACUGCAAGAACUCAUUUUUCUUUGACUUUUUAUUCAUUCAAGCAACAUAACCAUUUCAUAAAUGAUUAGGAAAAUAGAGAAAAGAAGAAAAUUGCCCAUAAUUUUACCUCUCAAACACAAUAGGUAUGAUGGUUUUGGAGCAAUUAUUUUGGGUCAUUUUCAAAUGCUGAGUUUUGAUAUGAUUCUAAACAUAAUGUACAAACAACUUUAUGUAUUGCUUUUUCUCUUAAUAUAUGUCAGAAGCAUUUCCGCAUGUUAUGAUUAGUUUCAGUAAAUAGCUUUUUAACUGCUGCCCAAGCAGUUGGAACAAUUCAGUCCCUCGUAUUGCGUUUCCAUGUGACCUAUGGAAGUAGAGACACCGUAUUAACUAUUUCUGUAUUUUGAGACAAUGGAUCAAAUACAUUUUUCACUGUAAUUAAUCCCAUGGUAAGUAGCUUUAUACAUAAACCUUUUCUAUAUAUAAGAUAAUUUCUUUAGGAUAAACCCCUAGAAAUUACAGGAUGAAAGUGCAUAAAUAUUUUAUGACUCUUGAUAUUUCUUGUUGAUCUUCAAAACUAUUACAUGAUUUUAUAUUAUCACCUAAAAUGUUUGCGGAAUCGUGCUUUAUGAGGGUAUUUUAUUGACUAAAUUUGCAGUACUGAGAGAGCUUUAUGUGUGCAGUUUGAUGAUGCUGACAGAUAUCCCGGAGGUGAACAUUUUUUAAAGAUGUUCUCUUUAUGUUUAACAUACAGAAGUUAAUGUUAAUCACGAUGCCUAUUUUGUUUAACAUACAGAAGUGACUUUAUUAAAGCCAUUUCUUCUAAAUGUGCAAUAAACUAUGAAUUCUUUGCCUGGU
Molecule: long non-coding RNA, 2292 nt
Organism: Saimiri boliviensis boliviensis (Bolivian squirrel monkey)
Lineage: Eukaryota; Metazoa; Chordata; Mammalia; Primates; Cebidae
Source: RefSeq, a predicted model, not a curated record